RNAcentral lists this ribosomal RNA (498 nucleotides) under uncultured bacterium. RNAcentral's name for it is "partial 16S ribosomal RNA". It matches the Rfam family "Bacterial small subunit ribosomal RNA", at positions 30 to 523 of the family's 1533-position model. The record is from RNAcentral.
AUUGAACGCUGGCGGCAUGCCUUACACAUGCAAGUCGAACGGUAACAGGUCUUCGGAUGCUGACGAGUGGCGAACGGGUGAGUAAUACAUCGGAACGUGCCUAGUAGUGGGGGAUAACUACUCGAAAGAGUGGCUAAUACCGCAUGAGAUCUACGGAUGAAAGCAGGGGAUCGCAAGACCUUGUGCUACUAGAGCGGCCGAUGGCAGAUUAGGUAGUUGGUGGGAUAAAAGCUUACCAAGCCGACGAUCUGUAGCUGGUCUGAGAGGACGAUCAGCCACACUGGGACCGAGCCACGGCCCAGACUCCUACGGGAGGCAGCAGUGGGGAAUUUUGGACAAGGGGCGCAAGCCUGAUCCAGCAAUGCCGCGUGCAGGAUGAAGGCCUUCGGGUUGUAAACUGCUUUUGUACGGAACGAAAAGCCCUGGGUUAAUACCCUGGGGUCAUGACGGUACCGUAAGAAUAAGCACCGGCUAACUACGUGCCAGCCGCCGCCGUAA